This 215-nucleotide long non-coding RNA is filed under the name Lathyrus oleraceus (garden pea). Its description in RNAcentral is "Pisum sativum (pea) long non-coding RNA (PSAT_LNC033250)". The record is from RNAcentral. Lineage: Eukaryota; Viridiplantae; Streptophyta; Magnoliopsida; Fabales; Fabaceae.
AUGAAGAGGGAGGGGAAAUGAGACAAACACAAAUUGAUCAUGGCAAGAAUUUUAUCAAAUUAAAAUCAUUCAUUCAUUUUGGGAGAUGAAAUGUAUAUUUCAUCAAUCCCCUAAAUCCAAUGAGUUUAAUCCAACAAAAGUGAAAUCAACCUUGACCAAGGCUCAAAGACUAUAGUCAAACUUCACAAGUCAAUCAAAAUAGCUCAACACAAUUU